RNAcentral lists this ribosomal RNA (247 nucleotides) under uncultured bacterium. RNAcentral describes it as "partial 16S ribosomal RNA". It matches the Rfam family "Bacterial small subunit ribosomal RNA", at positions 86 to 334 of the family's 1533-position model. The record is from RNAcentral.
AGAUGGCGACCGGCGCACGGGUGAGUAACACGUAUCCAACCUGCCGAUAACUCGGGGAUAGCCUUUCGAAAGAAAGAUUAAUACCCGAUGGCAUAAUUAGACCGCAUAGUCUUAUUAUUAAAGAAUUUCGGUUAUCGAUGGGGAUGCGUUCCAUUAGGCAGUUGGUGAGGUAACGGCUCACCAAACCUUCGAUGGAUAGGGGUUCUGAGAGGAAGGUCCCCCACAUUGGAACUGAGACACGGUCCAA